This 495-nucleotide ribosomal RNA is filed under the name uncultured bacterium. RNAcentral describes it as "partial 16S ribosomal RNA". It matches the Rfam family "Bacterial small subunit ribosomal RNA", at positions 28 to 507 of the family's 1533-position model. The record is from RNAcentral.
GAUGAACGCUGGCGGCGUGCCUAAUACAUGCAAGUAGAACGCUGAAGGAGGAGCUUGCUCUUCUGGAUGAGUGGCGAACGGGUGAGUAACGCGUAGGUAACCUGCCUGGUAGCGUGGGAUAACUAUUGGAAACGAUAGCUAAUGCCGCAUGACAACAGUUAUUGCAUGAUAACUGUUGAAAAGUGGCAACUGCUCCACUACCAGAUGGACCUGCGUUGUAUUAGCUAGUUGGUGAGGUAACGGCUCACCAAGGCGACGAUACAUAGCCGACCGGAGAGGGGGAUCGGCCACACUGGGACUGAGACACGCCCCAGAGUCCUACGGGAGGCAGCAGUAGGGAAUCUGCGGCAAUGGACGGAAGUCUGACCGAGCAACGCGGCGUGAGUGAAGAAGGUUGUCGGAUCGUAAAGCUCUGUUGUAAGAGAAGAACGAGUGUGAGAGUGGAAAGUUCACUCUGUGACGGUAACUGACCAGAAAGGGACGGCUAACUACGUG